UACAGAUGUGCCGAGCGUUAGGCGGAAUCACUGGGCUUAAAGCGUGUGUAGGCGGACUCCUAAGUACCUUGUGAAAUCCCACGGCUCACCCGUGGAACGGCUGGGUAUACUGGGCGUCUUGAGCCUUCUAGGGGCCAGCGGAACAAAUGGUGGAGCGGUGAAAUGCGUAGAUAUCCGGAGGAACACCGAAGGCGAAGGCAGUGUCAUGGCGCGUAACUGACGCUGAGGUGCGAAAGCCAGGGGAGCGAACGGG
RNAcentral lists this ribosomal RNA (253 nucleotides) under uncultured bacterium. RNAcentral's name for it is "partial 16S ribosomal RNA". It matches the Rfam family "Bacterial small subunit ribosomal RNA", at positions 524 to 776 of the family's 1533-position model. The record is from RNAcentral.